UUACUUCUUGAAGGAAGGAAAACGAAAUCGAGAGAAGGAGACGGUGGAUGAUUUUCUGGAAAUUUUUCAGUUGCAUGCCGUGUUUUGAUUGGAGAGAAAUCGGAGGAAAUUUGAAUAGCGAAGAAGUUUAGAAUCUCUUUCUUUUUCUUUCUUUCUUUAAAUAUUCAUAAUACAUUAAUACAAGUCCAUCUUGACAUGUUCUCUGCGCUCGAUUCAGUUACGCACAUCUAAAAUUCGUCGACGAUCGUCUCGUCUCGUCUCUGAUUUAGGCAAGUUUUGUAGGUUUUGAGCAACAAAACGCAGGAAAUUUGAAAUCUCAGGUACAAGUACAAGUACAAACACAACACAACAACCGUAGGGUUUCAAUUUCUCGAAUCAAGAUUUCUCCGGCCGGAAGAAACUGAAGAAAAUGCAGAGAUUGCGUGGGGAGUUUGUGAUGGGUUUGUUCAUAAUAUCCAAGUGAGAUGGACAUCAGACUGUGCCAAUGGUUGGGGUGAUGGUGACAGGUUUUGUGAGGGAGAGAAAAAGAGGAAAGGCCAUGUGCAAAAGCCAACUUUUAAGGCCACUGUCUCAUUGGAUUUGGGUUAAUGCUAAAUAGUCAUUAUAGCC
Long non-coding RNA from Momordica charantia (bitter melon), 609 nucleotides. RefSeq lists it as uncharacterized. The record is from RefSeq and is a predicted model, not a curated record. Lineage: Eukaryota; Viridiplantae; Streptophyta; Magnoliopsida; Cucurbitales; Cucurbitaceae.